AAUAAAUGGGUGACCCAAACCCUCACCAGAGUAGCAAUUGGAGGGCAAGUCUGGUGCCAGCAGCCGCGGUAAUUCCAGCUCCAAUAGCGUAUAUUAAACUUGUUGCAGUUAAAAAGCUCGUAGUUGUAUUUUUGCGUUAGCGGUUUGACCAUUUGGUUGGUUAUUUCGUUUUCGCUUUUGGGAAUUUCCCUUUUUACUUUGAGAAAAUUAGAGUGUUUCAAGCAGACUUUUGUCUUGAAUACUUCAGCAUGGAAUAAUAGAGUAGGACUUUGGUUCUAUUUUGUUGGUUAUUGAACCUUAGUAAUGGUUAAUAGGAACGGUUGGGGGCAUUCGUAUUUAACUGUCAGAGGUGAAAUUCUUAGAG
Molecule: ribosomal RNA, 364 nt
Filed under: Babesia canis
Lineage: Eukaryota; Apicomplexa; Aconoidasida; Piroplasmida; Babesiidae
Description: SSU rRNA
Rfam family: Eukaryotic small subunit ribosomal RNA
Source: RNAcentral